GGUGGGUAGCAGUACAGAAUCUGCAGAGAGGAGUGUUAAACUACGACCCUGCUUCCUGGUCUGAACCCUGGGUUGUCAGAGGUUGGAAGGAAGAUGGUGGAAGUGGGUUGGAGGAAGGUCGAGCUCGACUGAAGAGCAGGAGGGAUCCAUGACUGGCAGUCCUUAAAGGCGAAGCAUCAGAGGGUGAUUGGCUGAAGAGGCAUGCGGACUUGACACUGAUUGGAUGGAGGGGAGACGCAUGGAGGAGUCAUUGGAUGGAGCAGGUGGUGAGGAGUGGCAGAUAUGUUGGGAGAAUGGGCAAAAAACUAGUCAUCAAAAAAACAAGAACGAGAAUGGCUGUGAAACUGAAGAGACACACCGACCUCUCAGAGAAAUCUCAUCUGUCUGGGUUUCAACAGUUGGUUUCUAACUGAAGAUCAUAACGAGCAUGACUUACUAUUCAAACCCAAAUAUUCAGAGUUAAAGCUCAUAGUUAUGAUUUGCAUUUGGAGAGACAAUAGGAAUGAUGAACAACGUGAAGCAAAAGUGUUUUUUCACAAGUACGUCAAGGACCUUGAAGGAAAAGAAAUGUAUGUUCAGCAAAUAUUAAAAUAGCCUAAACAAACAUGCAGUUCCUGAAAUGGUGGUCAGAUCUUGAAGUACACACUAAAUGGUGUUUUAUAUUGUUACAUGAACCCUUCCUGCAGGAAUAAUGAGAAUGAAAAGUGUUCAACAUGUUUCUCAUGCAAAGAACUUGAUUAGGUUACCUUGGAAGACUACACAGAAAUGUGAAGAGGGAGUGGCACAUCCAAGAGAACACAUGAGAGACUUAUAACACAUUCAGCCGAGUGCAUUAAUCUAUGCCGUUGCAUAGAUUAAUGCAGGUUUUAGAAAUCCUUUGGGGUUUUUUUUGGGCUAUUUUCAUUUUCAGUGUCUGAUCUGUUUAUUGAUUUAAAUAAAUUUUCUGUGCUGGA
Long non-coding RNA from Girardinichthys multiradiatus, 953 nucleotides. RefSeq lists it as uncharacterized. The transcript is spliced from 2 exons. Lineage: Eukaryota; Metazoa; Chordata; Actinopteri; Cyprinodontiformes; Goodeidae. The record is from RefSeq and is a predicted model, not a curated record.